This is a non-coding RNA of Macaca mulatta (Rhesus monkey), 477 nucleotides long. The record is from RefSeq and is a predicted model, not a curated record. Lineage: Eukaryota; Metazoa; Chordata; Mammalia; Primates; Cercopithecidae.
GCCUCAGCCUCCUGAGUAGCUGAGACCAUAGGCCUGUACCAUCAUGCCCGGCUAAUGUUUGUAUUUUUGUAGAGACAGGGUUUCUCCAUGUUGCCCAGUCUGUUCUCGAACUCGUGAGCUAAAGCUACCUGCCCACCUGGAACUCCCAAAGUGCUAAGAUUACAUGGUAACUCUCAGAAGAGACUGGAAUUGAUACAUUGAUUUGUACCUGAAUGAAAAGCUGCCUCAUAGAAACCCAAGAGGAAGCCAAUAUUUCGAACAGUAUAAUUGUAAGACAGUGUUUGAAAUGCUGGAGGAAGCUUCAGUCAAAGCCAGGCCUACCUAUGAACUUUUCAGUUGCAUGAGGCAUUGUUAUUACAGUCUUACGGUGUAUCCAGAAAAUUGUCUGUAAGUUUUAGGAGCAACUCAAACUUAUUUCUUUCAUUUGUUUUCCUCUUGGCAAAGAAUCUCAAUAAAUAUGAUUUUUUAACCACAAUA